CUAUCAUAAUGUUCACAAUGCGAAAUAGUAAAGUUCCGUGGUUUACUAUUCUAGUCAAUGUCCAAGUAGUACACUAAGUCAUCAUCUGUCCACAUGUCAUAAUGAAUACUCAAAGUCAAAUCUGAAGAGACCCACCCGAAGGCUGUCUAUGGCCCUGAGACCCACCCGUAGGUUGUCUGGCCGGUGCCGAGCCUAAUGGCCCCGUGGUAGUCAUCAUCCCCACCCUAGGAAUGAGCCCGGCCCACGGCAAUCCACUUCGGCGCCCAAUCCCGCACGGGAAAUAUGAAUCGCGAUGGCUAUCUCCGGAG
Molecule: long non-coding RNA, 308 nt
Filed under: Ananas comosus (pineapple)
Lineage: Eukaryota; Viridiplantae; Streptophyta; Magnoliopsida; Poales; Bromeliaceae
Description: long non-coding RNA (ACOM_LNC043662)
Source: RNAcentral